Molecule: non-coding RNA, 396 nt
Organism: Alligator sinensis (Chinese alligator)
Lineage: Eukaryota; Metazoa; Chordata; Crocodylia; Alligatoridae
Source: the annotation of a RefSeq genome assembly
AUGGAUGCCAGCACCAUCAUCCCCCUCCUACUGCUGUUCCCAGUGGGUGUGUAUGCUCAGGGCAGCCUGGUGGAGUCUGGUGCCUGGUGCAAGGUGCAGCUGGUGGAGUCUGGAGGAGAUGUGAGGAAGCCUGGAGACUCUCUGUGCCUCUCCUGCAAAGCCUCUGGAUUCACCUUCAGCAGCUCCUACAUGACCUGGGUCCACCAGGCUCCUGGAAAGGGGCUACAGUGGGUGGCCCAGAUUAACUCUGGUGGAUCCAGCCAGUGGUGCUCAGCAGAUGUUCAGGGAAGAUUCACCAUCUCCAGGGACAACUCACAGAACCUGCUACACCUGCAGAUGAACAGCCUGAGCCCUGAGGACAUGGCCCAGUAUUACUGUGCCAGCGAUGCAUGGUGA